RNAcentral lists this unclassified non-coding RNA (253 nucleotides) under uncultured Rhodobacterales bacterium. RNAcentral's name for it is "contains 16S-23S intergenic spacer region". It matches the Rfam family "Bacterial small subunit ribosomal RNA", at positions 524 to 776 of the family's 1533-position model. Lineage: Bacteria; Pseudomonadati; Pseudomonadota; Alphaproteobacteria; Rhodobacterales. The record is from RNAcentral.
UACGGAGGGGGUUAGCGUUGUUCGGAAUUACUGGGCGUAAAGCGCACGUAGGCGGACUAUUAAGUCAGGGGUGAAAUCCCGGGGCUCAACCCCGGAACUGCCCUUGAUACUGGUAGUCUUGAGUUCGAGAGAGGUGAGUGGAAUUCCGAGUGUAGAGGUGAAAUUCGUAGAUAUUCGGAGGAACACCAGUGGCGAAGGCGGCUCACUGGUCCGGUACUGACGCUGAGGUGCGAAAGCGUGGGGAGCAAACAGG